GACGAACGCUGGCGGCGUGCUUAACACAUGCAAGUCGAACGGAAAGGCCCUGCUUUUGUGGGGUGCUCGAGUGGCGAACGGGUGAGUAACACGUGAGUAACCUGCCCUUGACCUUGGGAUAACUUCAGGAAACUGGGGCUAAUACCGGAUAGGAGCUCCUGCUGCAUGGUGGGGGUUGGAAAGUUUCGGCGGUUGGGGAUGGACUCGCGGCUUAUCAGCUUGUUGGUUGGGUAGUGGCUUACCAAGGCUUUGACUGGUAGCCGGCCUGAGAGGGUGACCGGCCACAUUGGGACUGAGAUACGGCCCAGACUCCUACGGGAGGCAGCAGUGGGGAAUAUUGCACAAUGGGCGGAAGCCUGAUGCAGCAACGCCGCGUGCGGGAUGACGGCCUUCGGGUUGUAAACCGCUUUCGCCUGUGACGAAGCGUGAGUGACGGUAAUGGGUAAAGAAGCACCGGCUAACUACGUG
This 468-nucleotide ribosomal RNA is filed under the name uncultured bacterium. RNAcentral's name for it is "partial 16S ribosomal RNA". It matches the Rfam family "Bacterial small subunit ribosomal RNA", at positions 28 to 507 of the family's 1533-position model. The record is from RNAcentral.